GAUGAACGCUGGCGGCGUGCCUAAUACAUGCAAGUCGAGCGAACGGACGAGAAGCUUGCUUCUCUGAUGUUAGCGGCGGACGGGUGAGUAACACGUGGAUAACCUACCUAUAAGACUGGGAUAACUUCGGGAAACCGGAGCUAAUACCGGAUGAUAUUUUGAACCGCAUGGUUCAAAAGUGAAAGACGGUCUUGCUGUCACUUAUAGAUGGAUCCGCGCUGCAUUAGCUAGUUGGUAAGGUAACGGCUUACCAAGGCAACGAUGCAUAGCCGACCUGAGAGGGUGAUCGGCCACACUGGAACUAAGACACGGUCCAGACUCCUACGGGAGGCAGCAGUAGGGAAUCUUCCGCAAUGGGCGAAAGCCUGACGGAGCAACGCCGCGUGAGUGAUGAAGGUCUUCGGAUCGUAAAACUCUGUUAUUAGGGAAGAACAUAUGUGUAAGUAACUGUGCACAUCUUGACGGUACCUAAUCAGAAAGCCACGGCUAACUACGUG
RNAcentral lists this ribosomal RNA (497 nucleotides) under uncultured bacterium. RNAcentral describes it as "partial 16S ribosomal RNA". It matches the Rfam family "Bacterial small subunit ribosomal RNA", at positions 28 to 507 of the family's 1533-position model. The record is from RNAcentral.